GACGUAGGGCGCGAGCGUUGUCCGGAUUUAUUGGGCGUAAAGAGCUCGUAGGCGGCUUGUUGCGUCGACCGUGAAAACCCGGGGCUCAACUUCGGGCUUGCGGUCGAUACGGGCGGGCUAGAGUUCGGUAGGGGAGACUGGAAUUCCUGGUGUAGCGGUGAAAUGCGCAGAUAUCAGGAGGAACACCGGUGGCGAAGGCGGGUCUCUGGGCCGAUACUGACGCUGAUGCGCGAAAGCGUGGGGAGCAAACGGG
Molecule: ribosomal RNA, 253 nt
Filed under: uncultured bacterium
Lineage: Bacteria
Description: partial 16S ribosomal RNA
Rfam family: Bacterial small subunit ribosomal RNA
Source: RNAcentral